UCCCUAGUAGCUCAGACGGUAAGAGCACCCGCCUGCAAUGCAGGAGACCCAGGUUCAAUCCCUGGGUUGGGAA
Cervus elaphus (red deer) is the source of this 73-nucleotide non-coding RNA. Lineage: Eukaryota; Metazoa; Chordata; Mammalia; Artiodactyla; Cervidae. The record is from the annotation of a RefSeq genome assembly.